UGUGGGUGCAACAGGACCAGUCACCCCGUGCUCUGCUGCAGACCCGUUCCUGACAUAAUGAACUAUACCUUCAAGCCAUGAGCCAGAAAAAAAUGCUUCCUUUUUAAAAUUGCGUUUGAGAGAUACUUGGUCAUAGCAACAAGAAAGGGUUAAUACACCUGCCUUUUUGCAACCCUAUCUGCAAGAAUCAAAGGUGGAAGCAACUGCUCCAACCCUCAGCCGACUCAUAGGAGGUGUAUUGUAUCUCAGGAUGGCCUUGAACUCACUUUGCAGCCAAUGACAACUUUGAACUUUUGAUCUCCUGCCUUCCACCUCUAGAGUGCUGGGAUUACAGACAUACAGAACCACGACUGGUUUAUGUAGUGCUUAGGAUGGAACCCAGGACUUCCUGCAUGCCAGGCUUCUGAUUACUGACGCACAGAACACCAUCUUUAAAUGACCCUAAGGUACGACAGUUUCAACUUCUAAUCUACAAAUGAAACAGAGACCUGGAAGAGCUUAGUGACUUUAUCAAGUAAUACUCGGGGCUGUGUUAAGAAGCCACAUAUGGCAACUCUUUCCUCUAAUAAAUAUGAACCCGUCAUAGCCGAUGGACCCUUUUAAAAGGAUAAAAAAACGCUUGGUCGAAAUUAGCCCGCUUUGCUAUUUGUUGAUACUCAAGCACUGAAUUGUCCCUCAAUUCAGUGCUUGACUCAAGUCAGGAUCUUAAAAUGCAGAGGCUGUGCUUCCAGCCCUGAGGUAUAAUGGCACAGUCUCAUCAGGACAUCAUCAGAGUCUGGCACAUAGUAGGCCUUCAUUAUAUUUUGGCGGUCACAUUUGGCAGGAAAGCGUGUUGUGCCUGGGAACAAGGUCACAGAGCGAGAAGAAUGGCCCCCACGUCAGCCUGCCUCUGUGUCUGUGACCACUGAGGAGUCCCCUCGUUCAAAGGCCGUUUGCCUGACUUCUCCAGCCGGCCUUCAGUGGAACCUGUUGAGUUGGGGAGAAAUGGCAGAGCGGUCGCAUAGCUGUGCCUAGAAGACAGAAAACAUUCGAUUCUCCAUGACUAUGUUUCUCACUGCACAUUUUAGGAGACUAAAUACGUGCAGGGCCUCCGGGAAGUUCUUAUGCCCUCUUAUUAAUUUUGAAAACACUUAACUCUGCUAAGGGUUAGACUUGGAGCCUUGCUGAUGCCAGGCAAGCACCUACCACUGCGCUACAUCCCCAACCUCACACUAUAAUCAGAGAUUAGCUGCUUUUAAAAGGCUACAAAGAGUGAUGAUGUUGGCAACAUAAUAAAUACAUAUGAUAGGUACUGUGGAGGGCAGAUUUAGGUACAUUGUUUAUUUUUUCUUCAUAAUCUAAAGGAGUUUCGAACGUCACCACCAUCAUCUCCCCUUACCACAUGAACAUAAUGUUGUUUUGAAAUAUUACAUAGUAUACUCAGAAGUACACAAUUUAGAAGGAUCAGAAUCAGGAAACAAGCCUUGAGAGAUCUUUAGCAUCCAUCUUAAGCACGGCUAAAUACUACCUCCAUCCUGACAGCACUGAUUUUAGUAUUUGUCUUCCAUAUUUCCAGACACCUGGGUUUGGAAGACCUGUGAUAUUCUAAUGUCCUAUAACCGUAGAGUUCAUCAACAGAAGUUCAUGGCCCUGACUGCUGGAUCUUCUGAGAGGGCAUUCUCUCAUAUAUUUCAGGAAAGGAAUGAUUUUGUUUUGGUCUUGAAAGUAUUUUAAAAACAAGAUCAUGGAACUGUGUUUUUGGCCUACGUGGGGUGGGAACCUGCAGACUGACCUCUGUAAGCUGCAGGAAGGACCAACUCCCCUUCUCCCCAGGCUGCAGGGAUUUUUCUCGUCUCCCUCGAUUGAGAACACAUGACUGAUGCUCAGAAUUCUCCACACCUUUGUUUCCUGGAAGAGGAAAUGGCAUUUCCGGGAGAGGAUGGUGUGUGGGUGGCUAGAUUCUACCCAUGGUGUUAAAAACACCCCGAACUUUCAGUGGCGUAUUUCUUUUCCCCUUCAGUGUCUGCCCUAAAGUUUCCCAGAAUUGCCGAGUACAGAAUGAAGCCAGUUACUUCAUUCCGGCAGGGAAAGAUGCAUUCUGACUCUGGACCCUGAGAGCUAAGGAAUGAGCGAUUCCGGACUUCUUCCUGGACCUGUUGCAACUUGGCAAAGAAGCCAGGCAUCACUUUGCUUUUCUCUUGGACUUAGUUGACGACUGAGGCUCCAUCUCUUACGGAAACCACCUCUUGCGCUUUCCGUGGGAUUGGCCUUUCCUAAGGGACUCAGGAUAGAGAGCACAAAAAACAUGUCCUAGUUUGAGCCUCAGUUUGGAGAACAAUGGUAUUUCGGAGAAGUAGGAUGUGGCAAACGCAGACAACUUGAGGACAGUGUCGCGAGACAAGAACAUUUCUCCCUACAGAAAACCACUGUGUGGAGAACAUCAAUCCGGAUGAUUUUUUGAAGACUUUGGCACCCAGACAUCCUCUUUUCAGAGCCUAGCAGAGACUUUGCAAAGCUGCCUACCUUAGUCUCCUGAAGGACUUAGAGGACGAUGAACUACUUUAACCAAAGGCUCAAGUAACACGUAAAUUUAUUCAGAGUGUGUGAAAGUUAUGGAUAGGUAAAAGUGACAGAGGGAUGAGUGAAAUUGGGCAUUUUUGUUGGGAGUAACUGAACUCCAGUUCCUGGGGUUUAUUUGUUUGCUGAAUUUUGUUUGGUUCUUUGAGCAGGGUGUAAUGAGGCCCUGACUGGCCUCAGACUCAUUACAUAGCUGAGGAGAACCUUGAACCUCUGAUCCUCCUGACUACAAAUUCCCAAGUGCUGAGUCUACAAGCGUGCAUCUCCAGUUGCUGGUGAUGAUGAGGCUGCUGUCAGCUUUGCAGACUGAUUUGGAACAGUGAAAGAUGAAGCCAAUUCAAUCUAUGAUAAUAAUAAAAAAGUGGCUAUAUUUUUUUAAA
This is a long non-coding RNA of Myodes glareolus (Bank vole), 2936 nucleotides long. RefSeq lists it as uncharacterized. The record is from RefSeq and is a predicted model, not a curated record. Lineage: Eukaryota; Metazoa; Chordata; Mammalia; Rodentia; Cricetidae.